Molecule: long non-coding RNA, 439 nt
Organism: Wasmannia auropunctata (little fire ant)
Lineage: Eukaryota; Metazoa; Arthropoda; Insecta; Hymenoptera; Formicidae
Exons: 3
Source: RefSeq, a predicted model, not a curated record
GUUUGGGCUCGUCUCGCUGAAUAACGUUCCCAAAACUAUCAGAGUUCGACCAUUUCAAUAUCGAACUAUAAAAAAUAUAAUUAAUUUCUUUUAUUCGUCUUGAAAAUACUUAAUAUCGCUUUACCUGGCUGUUUUUACUUAUUCGCGUGGAUAAAUCUUUAAAACCAAACUUAUUUUCUGUACCAAAUUAACUCUUGGACUUUUUGAUUACAGGUGUUGAUGACAACUUUGGCUCGGAGCCCUUCGCCGCUUGAUAAUCACGUGACCGGUCAAUUCAUCCGGUGGUCGGAUGAUACAUCUUCGCUAAUCAAACUCCAAAACAACUAUGUGAUCACGUGACUUCUGGAUUUGAACUUAUUUCUUUAACAUUCUCUUUUGAUUUCGGAACUGCAAGACAACUAUGUAUGCUCAAACUAUCAUUAAAAUAAAUGCUAACGCA